GGGCACGGGGGCGUGCCGUGCCAGCACGGGCACGAGGCAGGCCGGGCCGGGCCGUUUUCGGACCGUGUUUUCUCGUACCGUGCUCGUGCCGACCCGUUUAAAUCGGCCCGUUUGGCCAUCUAUAGGCCAAGAUGGAAAUGCAUGGCACUGUAGAGGAUAUCGGUUGUAGUUUGUUGGAGCUGAGAAGGGGUCGGCAAUUUGCCACGUGAGGGAUGCACACGAGCCAGUAGUGUCAAAAGCUAAUGGCACUGAUCGAGUACAGAGGGAAUUAAGCACCAUGUGGUUGUCAGCAUGCUGCAUGCAUGUAGAAUAAUAUACAUAUAUAAGCAGUGGCUAGAAUUGACCGGCAGACCGAUUCAUCCAUGCAUGAGGCUUAGUGUUGUAUCCUUCUCGAAAAAAAAAAAGAAAAAAAGCUAAGGGGUGUUAAAGUUUAAUAAAUAUUAUAGUAUUUUUAUUUUAUUUGACAGUCAGUGUCCAAUCAUGUAGACUAAUUAAGUUUAAAAGAUUUGUCUUAUAAAUUAUUCUUUAAUUAUGUUUUUAGUUUUAUAAAUAAUCUAUAUUUAGUACUUAUGUAUCUAAACAUUCGGUACGAGAGUUAAAAAAAUAGAAACAACUAAAUAGGGCCUAAGUGACAAAAAAACAUGCAGCUAGCUAGUAAGCUAUGUGAUCGGCGGAUCUGGCAACGCAUGCAAAAAGGCGGCCGGCCGGAUCGACCUGUCGAUGGCGAUGCGCACCAACGACGUCAGAUGACAGAUCCAUAUCCAUGGAUGCAUGAUGGGAUGGACGUACCACGUACGUGUACACGUACACGUCAUCUGCCGAUUGGACAAGCAUGCAUGCAUGCAUGCGACCUUGCAUUGUUGACACUAGAUCGUCGUGCAUGGGCGAUGGGCCAUUAUUUCCACUUCCGGUUGCCCCA
Molecule: long non-coding RNA, 919 nt
Filed under: Sorghum bicolor (sorghum)
Lineage: Eukaryota; Viridiplantae; Streptophyta; Magnoliopsida; Poales; Poaceae
Description: long non-coding RNA (SBIC_LNC011572)
Source: RNAcentral